UGCAAGUCGAGCGAGCGGAACCAACAGAUUUACUUCGGUAAUGACGUUGGGAAAGCGAGCGGCGGAUGGGUGAGUAACACGUGGGGAACCUGCCCCUAAGUCUGGGAUACCAUUUGGAAACAGGUGCUAAUACCGGAUAAUAAAGCAGAUCGCAUGAUCAGCUUUUGAAAGGCGGCGUAAGCUGUCGCUAAGGGAUGGCCCCGCGGUGCAUUAGCUAGUUGGUAAGGUAACGGCUUACCAAGGCGACGAUGCAUAGCCGAGUUGAGAGACUGAUCGGCCACAUUGGGACUGAGACACGGCCCAAACUCCUACGGGAGGCAGCAGUAGGGAAUCUUCCGCGAUGGACGAAAGUCUGACGGAGCAACGCCGCGUGAGUGGAGAAGGCCUUCGGGUCGUAAAACUCUGUUGCCGGGGAAGAACAAGUGCCGUUCGAACAGGGCGGCGCCUUGACGGUACCCGGCCAGAAAGCCACGGCUAACUAC
This 482-nucleotide ribosomal RNA is filed under the name uncultured bacterium. RNAcentral's name for it is "bacterial SSU rRNA". It matches the Rfam family "Bacterial small subunit ribosomal RNA", at positions 56 to 504 of the family's 1533-position model. The record is from RNAcentral.